CCUACGGGUGGCAGCAGUGGGGAAUAUUGGACAAUGGGCGGAACCCUGAUCCAGCGACGCCGCGUGAGUGAAGAAGUAUUUCGGUAUGUAAAGCUCUAUCAGCAGGGAAGAAAAUGACGGUACCUGACGAAGAAGCCCCGGCUAACUACGUGCCAGCAGCCGCGGUAAUACGUAGGGGGCAAGCGUUAUCCGGAUUUACUGGGUGUAAAGGGAGCGUAGACGGGGCAGCAAGUCUGAUGUGAAAGGUCGGGGCCCAACCCCGGGACUGCAGUGGAAACUGUUGAACUGGAGUGCAGGAGAGGUAAGCGGAAUUCCUGGUGUAGCGGUGAAAUGCGUAGAUAUUAGGAGGAACACCGGUGGCGAAGGCGGCUUACUGGACUGUAACUGACGUUGAGGCUCGAAAGCGUGGGGAGCAAACAGGAUUAGAUACCCUUGUAGUC
Molecule: ribosomal RNA, 440 nt
Filed under: uncultured bacterium
Lineage: Bacteria
Description: partial 16S ribosomal RNA
Rfam family: Bacterial small subunit ribosomal RNA
Source: RNAcentral